This 252-nucleotide ribosomal RNA is filed under the name uncultured bacterium. Its description in RNAcentral is "partial 16S ribosomal RNA". It matches the Rfam family "Bacterial small subunit ribosomal RNA", at positions 1240 to 1500 of the family's 1533-position model. The record is from RNAcentral.
CAGCGGGAAGCCAUAUGGCGACAUAGAGCGGAACCCGAAAACCUGUCUCAGUUCGGAUUGGAGUCUGCAACCCGACUCCAUGAAGCUGGAUUCGCUAGUAAUCGCGCAUCAGCUACGGCGCGGUGAAUACGUUCCCGGGCCUUGUACACACCGCCCGUCAAGCCAUGGAAGCCGGGAGUGCCUGAAGUGCGUGAGCGCAAGCAGCGCCCUAAGGUAAAACCGGUGACUGGGGCUAAGUCGUAACAAGGUAAC